GUGCUUGCUUCAGCAGCACAUAUGCUAAAAUUGAAAUGAUACAGAGAAGAUGAGCAUGGCCCCUGCACAAGGAUGACAUGCAAAUUCAUGAAAUGUUCCAUAUUUUU
RNAcentral lists this small nuclear RNA (107 nucleotides) under Jaculus jaculus (lesser Egyptian jerboa). The record is from RNAcentral. Lineage: Eukaryota; Metazoa; Chordata; Mammalia; Rodentia; Dipodidae.